AUUCCAGCUCCAGUAGCGUAUAUUAAAGUUGUUGCAGUUAAAAAGCUCGUAGUUGGAUUUCUGACUUCAAACACCUGACCCUCCCUCGCUAGAGGUGUGUGUGCCGGAGUGUUUGUAUCAUCCUUUCAGUGAUCGGUUCUACCCUUAACCGGGUCGGAACUGUUAACUGGAUCUUUUACUUUGAAGAAAUUGGAGUGUUUAAAGCAGGCUUACGCCAGAACAUAUUAGCAUGGAAUAAUAAUUUAGGACUUUUGUUCUAUUUUGUUGGUUUCUAGGACGAAAGUAAUGAUUGAUAGGGAUAGUUGGGGGUGCUAGUAUUCGGCGGCCAGAGGUGAAAUUCUUUGAUCCGCUGAAGACUAACUUAUGCGAAAGCAUUCACCAAGGAUGUCUUCAUUA
RNAcentral lists this ribosomal RNA (396 nucleotides) under Cercozoa sp. RNAcentral describes it as "partial small subunit ribosomal RNA". It matches the Rfam family "Eukaryotic small subunit ribosomal RNA", at positions 582 to 975 of the family's 1831-position model. Lineage: Eukaryota; Cercozoa. The record is from RNAcentral.